RNAcentral lists this ribosomal RNA (484 nucleotides) under Streptococcus mitis. RNAcentral's name for it is "bacterial SSU rRNA". It matches the Rfam family "Bacterial small subunit ribosomal RNA", at positions 28 to 496 of the family's 1533-position model. The record is from RNAcentral. Lineage: Bacteria; Bacillati; Bacillota; Bacilli; Lactobacillales; Streptococcaceae.
GACGAACGCGGGCGGCGUGCCUAAUACAUGCAAGUAGAACGCUGAAGGAAGGAGCUUGCUCUUUCCGGAUGAGUUGCGAACGGGUGAGUAACGCGUAGGUAACCUGCCUGGUAGCGGGGGAUAACUAUUGGAAACGAUAGCUAAUACCGCAUAAUAGCAGUUAUUGCAUGAUAACUGUUUGAAAGGUGCAAAUGCAUCACUACCAGAUGGACCUGCGUUGUAUUAGCUAGUUGGUGGGGUAACGGCUCACCAAGGCGACGAUACAUAGCCGACCUGAGAGGGUGAUCGGCCACACUGGGACUGAGACACGGCCCAGACUCCUACGGGAGGCAGCAGUAGGGAAUCUUCGGCAAUGGACGGAAGUCUGACCGAGCAACGCCGCGUGAGUGAAGAAGGUUUUCGGAUCGUAAAGCUCUGUUGUAAGAGAAGAACGAGUGUGAGAGUGGAAAGUUCACACUGUGACGUAUCUACCAGAAAGGACGCA